Photinus pyralis (common eastern firefly) is the source of this 916-nucleotide long non-coding RNA. RefSeq lists it as uncharacterized. The record is from RefSeq and is a predicted model, not a curated record. The transcript has 3 exons. NCBI's taxonomy places the organism in Eukaryota, Metazoa, Arthropoda, Insecta, Coleoptera, Lampyridae.
AAAAAUAACGGAGCGCGAGCGUCAAAGGCGGCGGUGAAUUUAAUACAUUUAUUGGCGCGUCCGGUAGUGUCGUCGCAGUGGGGGAGGAGGUCGUGUGCGUAAGGAGUUAAUGAAGAGUGCCAGUCCAAAUUUAAAAUUGACAUAGUGGCCUAUAUUCGUCUUACGUUAUGCAAAGUUUCGAUACGCGUAUUAUCGUGCAUAGCGCAGUAAAGGAUUUUUGCGUCACAGUCGUCGCACUGAUGAUGCACGGAUUGCAUCCAAUCACAGCGAUUGUUUUGUCUCUUCCAUCAGGGUAGUUAGCGCAGUCGUGCUCCUCUACGGCGACGUUAGUCGAACAGGACCGACCACGUACUCUGCUCCUCUACGUCUAUACUCGUCAGUAUCGUGUUGAUAGUGUGGCAGAACGAACAAAACCGGGAGCCCGCUAAUCCAUCCCGGUCUCUAUUUACCUUUAGUUUAGUCGUAGUUCGAGAUCUAUCAUAGAGUUUGUUAUGGAGCCUCAAAACCAGGAGAUUGUAGCUAGUGGUUCCCCGGCUGAAGUUCCAAACGAUCCAGGAAAAAUGUUUAUCGGUGGCCUCAGCUGGCAAACUAGUCCAGGCAGCCAACCCGUAUAAGUAAGCACCCCAAUAUUAAACGAAGAAAGGAAGUAUUAAAGUAGGUGGGCGCGACUACGUUUAUAUUGAUGAAGAAUAUUUUGUACAUUUUUAUUUUAUUAUUUUCUUUUAUUUUCGUUAACACUACAACGCAAAUAAAAUUUAUUUUUUCGUGCAGUUGGUUUGGUACUUACUAAUUUAUCAACCCUAGUAAUUCUAUUUAUCAAACGUUUUGUAAUUCUAUGAAGAUAAAACCAGAAGCAGUUAUUUAUUUCGUGUGUUAUUGACCAAGCAACAAUCAGAAUUUCGACUGUGAUGUAAAA